Small nuclear RNA from Oreochromis aureus, 192 nucleotides. Its record names the gene U2. It matches the Rfam family "U2 spliceosomal RNA". Rfam says of the family: U2 is a small nuclear RNA (snRNA) component of the spliceosome (involved in pre-mRNA splicing). Complementary binding between U2 snRNA (in an area lying towards the 5' end but 3' to hairpin I) and the branchpoint sequence (BPS) of the intron results the bulging out of an unpaired adenosine, on the BPS, which initiates a nucleophilic attack at the intronic 5' splice site, thus starting the first of two transesterification reactions that mediate splicing. The record is from Ensembl. Lineage: Eukaryota; Metazoa; Chordata; Actinopteri; Cichliformes; Cichlidae.
AUCGCUUCUCGGCCUUUUGGCUAAGAUCAAGUGUAGUAUCUGUUCUUAUCAGUUUAAUAUCUGAUACGCCCCGAUUCGGGGCAACGUGUUAAACGCAUUUUUAGAACAGGGAGCUGAAUAAGGGCUCGCUCCGUUCGCUGCCACGCAUCGACGAGCCCGGUAUUGCAGCGCCUCCGGAACGGUGCCCCUUUG